UUAUUGCUCUUGAACGAGGAAUCCCUAGUAAGCACAAGUCACUAGCUUGUGCUGAUUACGUCCCUGCCCUUUGUACACACCGCCCGUCGCUACUACCGAUUGAAUGGCUUAGUGAGGCCCUUGGAUCGGAGGUGUAUUCUCGCAAGAGAUCUCGCUUUCGAGAAGUUGGUCAACCUUGGUCAUUUAGAGGAAGUAAAAGUCGUAACAAGGUUUCCGUAGGUGAACCUGCGGAAGGAUCAUUACCAAUCUCUUAGCGGGCCUUGGCUUGUCCAUGGUUCGCAAAAACUUGUAUUUAAAACCCAACUCAUGUAAAUGAAAUCAUACUUUUUAUAUCUUAUGAUGUAAAUAAAGAUCACUUUCAACAACGGAUCUCUUGGCUCUCGCAUCGAUGAAGAACGUAGCGAAGUGCGAUAAGUAAUGUGAAUUGCAGAAUCCGUGAAUCAUCGAAUCUUUGAACGCAAAUUGCACUUCCUGGUAUUCCGGGGAGUAUGCCUGUUUGAGGGUCGUUUUAAAUUAAAUCGAUGUGUUGUUUUUUCGUGAUGACACGUCGGAGUUGGGUUAUCAUCUUAGCUUUUUUUAGUUAAGAGACCUAAAAUUGACUUUUUUGCGCAUUCUAGACGUGUAAUUUUUUUUAUCUGUCUCGUUAUGCUCAAUGAUUUCAUUAGGUGCGGUCAUGUUCAAUGUGGUCUCGUGUCUAUGAUUCUCGUUUUCGACCUCAAAUCAGGUAGGGAUACCCGCUGAACUUAAGCAUAUCAAUAAGCGGAGGACACAUAUGUUAGAUUCCUCGUUGAAGAGCGAUAAACACUCGCACACAUGUUAGAUUCCUCGUUGAAGAGCGAUAAACACUCGCACAUAUGUUAGAUUCCUCGUUGAAGAGCGAUAAACACUCGCACAUAUGUUAGAUUCCUCGUUGAAGAGCGAUAAACACUCGCACACAUGUUAGAUUCCUCGUUGAAGAACAAUAAACACUCGCACAUAUGUUAGAACACUCACACACAUGUAACACUCGCACACAUGUUAGAUAACACUCGCACACAUGUUAGAUAACACUCGCACACAUGUUAGAUUCCUCGUUGAAGGGCGAAGAUUCCUCGUUGAAGAGCA
Molecule: ribosomal RNA, 1104 nt
Filed under: uncultured fungus
Lineage: Eukaryota; Fungi
Description: eukaryotic LSU rRNA
Rfam family: Eukaryotic small subunit ribosomal RNA (bases 1-242)
Source: RNAcentral